This 339-nucleotide long non-coding RNA is filed under the name Vombatus ursinus (common wombat). Its description in RNAcentral is "lncRNA (ENSVURG00010012854.1)". The record is from RNAcentral. Lineage: Eukaryota; Metazoa; Chordata; Mammalia; Diprotodontia; Vombatidae.
GUUUGGAACACUGGAUCAUGACUUGUAUAAAUCUGUAUAAAUCAAUUUCUGUGCCAGGGACUGAAUAGCCAACUUCAUUCAAAUGCCAAUUCAGCAAUUACGAAGUCUGCUGGCAGUUAAUUAAAAACUACCAUCUCAUUAUAUUCAGAGGUUCAAUGGCUAAAGAAGAAGGCCAAGUUCCCAUUAGCAUGGUGGAUAUUAAAAAUCUGACAGACAGCGAAUUGCAGGAACAGCUUAUGAACCAUGGAUAUAAUUCGGGGACAAUAAUACCCUCCACAAGACAGGUUUAUGAGGAUAAACUGCUAGAGUUGUUGACCACUUCAAGUCCAUCAAUGCAGC